AAAAAAUCAGAAUCUAUCGACUCCGACUCUUCUUUCCCUCCAUCGAAGAGCGAUUAGGUUUCGCCGUCGACACCUUCUUUCUCCGACAUGUCUUAGUUUGUUGGAGACCUUUAACUCAUCGUCACAUCUCUCCUUCAUCCUCCUUCUUUCGUAUCUCCUCUUUAAACACCACCAAUUAGAAUAACUUUGUAAUCUCCGCCGGCUACAAUUGGAGUUGUUCAAGCUCGGACAAGCUUCUUGUCGCCGGUUGAUAAAGGACGAUUAGCAUCACAUUGUUCUUCGUUUGCUCUUAAUUCAUCUUGGUUCCCAAAACUUGGAGUUUAGGGUUUUGAAAUCCCCUUUAGAUUUUUUUUUUUUUGUUCAUAAUUUGUUUAUUUGCAUGUACUAGGAAGAUAUUUGAAUUGUUAAAAUACAAAUCGAUUCAUGUUUAUGGUUUCAAUUUUUUUUGGAAGACUAUCUAGUUUAAAGGUUUAAUCUUUAAACAUGAACUUGAUUUCUCUCUGAUGGGUUUAACACAGUAUUUGUCUUGGGUGUUGUUGUAGAUUGAUAAGCUUAAAGCUGGAGUACUAGUUGGGACUGGUAUGGGUCAUAGGAGAAUAACUCCAUUCUUAUUCCUUAUCCUAUUACAAGCUGGAGUUCUGGUGAUGGAAAGCUUGGAACAUUGUGAUGAAACACGAUGUUCGAAUUGUAGGAGAACUUUCCCUAUGGUGAACAAGCAGUGGAGAAAGUAUAGGCUCUUGAUUUUUUUGUCCUUUUGAUUGGAUCUUAUUUGUGUAUCUUCUGUAAGCAGAUCAAAAGAAAAUGUAACAUUUGAAGUGAAGUAAUUUUUGCUGAUCCAUCAUUAAAAAA
This is a long non-coding RNA of Brassica oleracea var. oleracea, 849 nucleotides long. RefSeq lists it as uncharacterized. Lineage: Eukaryota; Viridiplantae; Streptophyta; Magnoliopsida; Brassicales; Brassicaceae. The transcript has 2 exons. The record is from RefSeq and is a predicted model, not a curated record.